AGAGUUUGAUCCUGGCUCAGGAUGAACGCUGGCGGCGUGCCUAACACAUGCAAGUCGAGCGAUUCUCUUCGGAGAAGAGCGGCGGACGGGUGAGUAACGCGUGGGUAACCUGCCCUGUGCACACGGAUAACAUACCGAAAGGUAUGCUAAUACGAGAUAAUAUGCUUUUAUCGCAUGGUAGAAGUAUCAAAGCUUUUGCGGUACAGGAUGGACCCGCGUCUGAUUAGCUAGUUGGUAAGGUAACGGCUUACCAAGGCGACGAUCAGUAGCCGACCUGAGAGGGUGAACGGCCACACUGGGACUGAGACACGGCCCAGACUCCUACGGGAGGCAGCAGUAGGGAAUCUUCGGCAAUGGGCGAAAGCCUGACCGAGCAACGCCGCGUGAAUGAUGAAGGCCUUCGGGUUGUAAAAUUCUGUUAUAAGGGAAGAAUGGCUCUAGUAGGAAAUGGCUAGAGUGUGACGGUACCUUAUGAGAAAGCCACGGCUAACUACGUGCCAGCAGCCGCGGUAAUACGUAGGGGGCUAGCGUUAUCCGGAAUUACUGGGCGUAAAGGGUGCGUAGGUGGUUUCUUAAGUCAGAGGUGAAAGGCUACGGCUCAACCGUAGUAAGCCUUUGAAACUGGGAAACUUGAGUGCAGGAGAAGGAGAGUGGAAUCCCUAGUGUAGCGGUGAAAUGCGUAGAUAUUAGGAGGACCACCAGUUUGCGAAGGCGGCUCUCUGUACUGUAACUGACACUGAGGCACGAAAGCGUGGGGAGCAAACAGGAUUAGAUACCCUGGUAGUCCACGCCGUAAACGAUGAGUACUAGCUGUCGGAGGUUACCCCCUCCGGUGGCGCAGCUAACGCAUUAAGUACUCCGCCUGGGAAGUACGCUCGCAAGAGUGAAACUCAAAAGGAAUUGACGGGGACCCGCACAAGUAGCGGAGCAUGUGGUUUAAUUCGAAGCAACGCGAAGAACCUUACCUAAGCUUGACAUCCUUUUGACCGAUGCCUAAUCGCAUCUUUCCCUUCGGGGACAGAAGUGACAGGUGGUGCAUGGUUGUCGUCAGCUCGUGUCGUGAGAUGUUGGGUUAAGUCCCGCAACGAGCGCAACCCUUGCCUUUAGUUGCCAGCAUUAAGUUGGGCACUCUAGAGGGACUGCCAGGGAUAACCUGGAGGAAGGUGGGGAUGACGUCAAAUCAUCAUGCCCCUUAUGCUUAGGGCUACACACGUGCUACAAUGGGUGGUACAGAGGGCAGCCAAGUCGUGAGGCGGAGCUAAUCCCUUAAAGCCAUUCUCAGUUCGGAUUGUAGGCUGAAACUCGCCUACAUGAAGCUGGAGUUACUAGUAAUCGCAGAUCAGAAUGCUGCGGUGAAUGCGUUCCCGGGUCUUGCACACACCGCCCGUCA
This 1390-nucleotide ribosomal RNA is filed under the name uncultured bacterium. RNAcentral describes it as "bacterial SSU rRNA". It matches the Rfam family "Bacterial small subunit ribosomal RNA". The record is from RNAcentral.